This 459-nucleotide ribosomal RNA is filed under the name uncultured bacterium. RNAcentral describes it as "partial 16S ribosomal RNA". It matches the Rfam family "Bacterial small subunit ribosomal RNA", at positions 338 to 795 of the family's 1533-position model. The record is from RNAcentral.
CCUACGGGAGGCAGCAGUGAGGAAUAUUGGUCAAUGGGCGGAAGCCUGAACCCGCCAAGUAGCGUGCGGGAUGAAGGCCCUACGGGUCGUAAACCGCUUUUGCACGGGGAUAACACCCUCCACUUGUGGAGGUCUGCAGGUACCGUGCGAAUAAGGGCCGGCUAAUUCCGUGCCAGCAGCCGCGGUAAUACGGAAGGCCCGAGCGUUGUCCGGAUUCCUUGGGCUUAAAGGGAGCGUAGGGGGGCGUUCAAGUCAGCGGUAAAAUCGCGCGGCUCAACCGCGCCCCGCGGUUGAGACUGGACGCUUUGAGUUCACAACAGGCAUGCGGAAUUCGUGGUGUAGCGGUGAAAUGCAUAGAUAUCACGAGGAACCCCGAUUGCGAAGGCAGCCUGCCGGGGUGCGACUGACGCUGAGGCUCGAAGGUGCGGGUAUCAAACAGGAUUAGAUACCCGAGUAGUC